UACGUAGGGGGCAAGCGUUGUCCGGAAUUAUUGGGCGUAAAGAGCGCGUAGGCGGUCCGAUAAGUCGGCUGUGAAAGUCUAGGGCUCAACCCUGGAAAGCCGGCCGAUACUGUCGGACUAGAGUCCGGAAGAGGCGAGUGGAAUUCCCCGGUGUAGCGGUGAAAUGCGCAGAUAAUCCGGGGAGGAACACCAAUGGCGAAGGCGGCGCCUGGGCCAAUAUUGACGCUGA
RNAcentral lists this ribosomal RNA (229 nucleotides) under uncultured bacterium. Its description in RNAcentral is "partial 16S ribosomal RNA". It matches the Rfam family "Bacterial small subunit ribosomal RNA", at positions 524 to 749 of the family's 1533-position model. The record is from RNAcentral.